GUYUUUUUGUUAAAAAUUUAAAGUCGGGCCUGCCCACUGAAAAUUUAAAUGGCCGUGGUAUUUUGACCGUGCUAAGGUAGCAUAAUCAUUAGUUUUUUAAUUGAAAGCUGGAAUGAAGGGUUUGAUAAAAAAAUGACUGUCUCUGUUUAAUUUUAUUAAAAUUUUAUUUUUAAGUUCAAAAGCUUAAUUUUUAUUAAAAGACGAGAAGACCCUAUAGAGUUUAAUAAUAAAAAUUAAUUUUUAUUUUAGAAUUAAUUUAUUUAUUUUUUAAUAUUAUUUAAUUGGGGUGAUUGAAAAAUUUAGUUAACUUUUUUUAUAUUAAAUCAUUAAUUUAUGAAUAUUUGAUCCAAUUUUUUUGAUUAUAAGAUAAAAUUACCUUAGGGAUAACAGCGUAAUUUUUUUAGAAAGUUCAAAUUAAAAAAAAAGAUUGCGACCUCGAUGUUGGAUUAAAAUUAAAUUUUGGUGUAGAAGCUAAAAAAUUUAAGUCUGUUCGACUUUUAAAAUUUUACA
This 510-nucleotide ribosomal RNA is filed under the name Calligrapha labyrinthica. RNAcentral's name for it is "partial 16S ribosomal RNA". The stretch from base 383 to 510 matches the Rfam family "Archaeal large subunit ribosomal RNA", at positions 2544 to 2671 of the family's 2987-position model. The record is from RNAcentral. Lineage: Eukaryota; Metazoa; Arthropoda; Insecta; Coleoptera; Chrysomelidae.